Molecule: long non-coding RNA, 987 nt
Organism: Cydia pomonella (codling moth)
Lineage: Eukaryota; Metazoa; Arthropoda; Insecta; Lepidoptera; Tortricidae
Exons: 2
Source: RefSeq, a predicted model, not a curated record
AGGUGUGGUGAAAAUAAGCCUACCAGAAUUAAGCACCUAAUUUUAGCCACGCUUGAAGUUAAAGGUUGUUUUAAAACAACGUAUACAUAUCUUUAUUUAAAAUUAAAUUAUAUUAAUGUGUCGACAAGAAAAUUUUAUACAUUCUCGUUUUUAGGGCACUUAUUUCAAUUCGUUCAAUUUUUACCCAAUUUGGAAUUUUUGUAAUCAAUCAAAGCCUCAAUUAAAAGAUGAUUCUACGGAAACCAAAUCUCUGAGUCAGAGUACGAGUUAUCUCAAACUUACAAACUGCUUUGUUUCGUAUAUACUACAUUGUUCGGAAAAAUAUACCUUAAGGUAUCUUACGGUAGGUAUAUUUUCCCACAGUAUAAACUCCGUCCCGGUCCCAUGACCGACAUAUAGGUGAAGUGAGAAACCAUUAAUAAAAACUUAGUAUAGAACUCAUACGGAAUUUGUUUUAGUUUAAUCCAGUAGCAUAUUUUUAAGUAAGUAAAUCAGCAUAUUUGUACCUCUAAUUAGAAAAUAUUGACAGUUCCCACAUAGGUAGCCCCCAUGGAGUAAGGAGACUUUUAAUCUUACAGAAUAAAAACGGUUCCAAAUUGAAAAACAAACAUUUUAAAUAUAUUUCAUUUGAAAUAUGUACCUACCCAGGUUCAAUAUUCAUCUGAAAAAAAAAAACUGAGGAGGAAUUUGUUGUUUUUAUAUAAAUAAAUUUAAUUUGUAACAUUACUUACCCCACAACCACUGAAAUAUAGUUCAGUAGAUACUGCACUGUAAGGGUAAGAGAGAUGUGAAAUUUAAAAUUAAAAUAAUAUAUUCUUUUCAAUUUAAAUUUCAAAGGGCAUGUAAGGGCAAAGUCGAUUAUUAGGUCGAACCAUAGUAGUCUCAUUCGAUAUUUAAUAACACCGUUAGAGUAACAAGAAUAGAGAUAUGUAUAAACAGUAAGGUAAGAGUGAGACAGCGCUUUACAAAUAAAAGACACUUCCAAUA